RNAcentral lists this ribosomal RNA (270 nucleotides) under uncultured archaeon. RNAcentral describes it as "partial 16S ribosomal RNA". It matches the Rfam family "Archaeal small subunit ribosomal RNA", at positions 477 to 747 of the family's 1478-position model. The record is from RNAcentral.
CAGCUCUCCGAGUAGUGUAGACGUUUAUUGGGCCUAAAGCAUCCGUAGCUUGCUAGAUAGGUCCUCUGUUAAAUCCACCGAUUCAAUCGUUGGAUUGCGGGGGAUACUGUUUGGCUAGGGGACGGGAGAGGUCGACGGUAUUUCCGGGGUAGGGGUGAAAUCCUAUAAUCCCGGGAGGACCACCAGUGGCGAAGGCUGUCGACUAGAACGCGCCCGACGGUGAGGGAUGAAAGCUGGGGGAGCGAACCGGAUUAGAUACCCGAGUAGUCC